RNAcentral lists this ribosomal RNA (709 nucleotides) under uncultured bacterium. RNAcentral's name for it is "bacterial SSU rRNA". It matches the Rfam family "Bacterial small subunit ribosomal RNA", at positions 8 to 698 of the family's 1533-position model. The record is from RNAcentral.
AGAGUUUGAUCAUGGCUCAGAGUGAACGCUGGCGGCAGGCCUAACACAUGCAAGUCGAGCGGCAGCGCGUCCGACCACCCUCGGGUGGUCGGAUGGCGGCGAGCGGCGGACGGGUGAGGAAUGCAUCGGAAUCUGCCUCGUUGUGGGGGAUAACGUAGGGAAACUUACGCUAAUACCGCAUACGACCUACGGGUGAAAGUGGGGGACCUUCGGGCCUCACGCGAUGAGAUGAGCCGAUGCCGGAUUAGCUAGUUGGCGGGGUAAAGGCCCACCAAGGCGACGAUCCGUAGCUGGUCUGAGAGGAUGAUCAGCCACACUGGAACUGAGACACGGUCCAGACUCCUACGGGAGGCAGCAGUGGGGAAUAUUGGACAAUGGGGGCAACCCUGAUCCAGCCAUGCCGCGUGUGUGAAGAAGGCCUUCGGGUUGUAAAGCACUUUUGUUGGGGAAGAAACCGGCCGGGUUAAUACCCUGGUUGAAUGACGGUACCCAAAGAAUAAGCACCGGCUAACUUCGUGCCAGCAGCCGCGGUAAUACGAAGGGUGCAAGCGUUACUCGGAAUUACUGGGCGUAAAGCGUGCGUAGGCGGUUUGUUAAGUCUGCUGUGAAAGCCCUGGGCUCAACCUGGGAACUGCAGUGGAUACUGGCGAGCUAGAGUGUGUCAGAGGAUGGUGGAAUUCCCGGUGUAGCGGUGAAAUGCGUAGAGAUC